This 491-nucleotide ribosomal RNA is filed under the name uncultured bacterium. RNAcentral's name for it is "partial 16S ribosomal RNA". It matches the Rfam family "Bacterial small subunit ribosomal RNA", at positions 29 to 507 of the family's 1533-position model. The record is from RNAcentral.
AGUGAACGCUGGCGGUAGGCCUAACACAUGCCAGUCGAACGGCAGCACAGUAAGAGCUUGCUCUUACGGGUGGCGAGUGGCGGACGGGUGAGGAAUACAUCGGAAUCUACUUUUUCGUGGGGAUAACGUAGGGAAACUUACGCUAAUACCGCAUACGACCUACGGGUUAAAGCAGGGGAUCUUCGGACCUUGCCCGAUUGAAUGAGCCGAUGUCGGAUUAGCUAGUUGGCGGGGUAAAGGCCCACCAAGGCGACGAUCCGUAGCUGGUCUGAGAGGAUGAUCAGCCACACUGGAACUGAGACACGGUCCAGACUCCUACGGGAGGCAGCAGUGGGGAAUAUUGGACAAUGGGCGCAAGCCUGAUCCAGCCAUACCGCGUGGGUGAAGAAGGCCUUCGGGUUGUAAAGCCCUUUUGUUGGGAAAGAAAAGCAGCAGGUUAAUACCCCGCUGUUCUGACGGUACCCAAAGAAUAAGCACCGGCUAACUUCGUG